RNAcentral lists this small nuclear RNA (163 nucleotides) under Dermacentor silvarum. Its description in RNAcentral is "U1 spliceosomal RNA". It matches the Rfam family "U1 spliceosomal RNA". Rfam says of the family: U1 is a small nuclear RNA (snRNA) component of the spliceosome (involved in pre-mRNA splicing). The record is from RNAcentral. Lineage: Eukaryota; Metazoa; Arthropoda; Arachnida; Ixodida; Ixodidae.
AUACUUACUUGGUGUCGGGCCAUCCGGCGAUCAGUGAGGCCGGGGCCCCGUGCCGAGGCCUCCCAUUGCACUGCGGGUGGCUGAGGUACGCCACUACCCCUGAUGUGGGUAGGGGGGGCACGUAAUUUUUGGUAGUGGGGCUUGGCGUGCGCGCCAGCCCCUC